This 2438-nucleotide long non-coding RNA is filed under the name Anas platyrhynchos platyrhynchos (common mallard). Its description in RNAcentral is "lncRNA (ENSAPLG00000025484.1)". The record is from RNAcentral. Lineage: Eukaryota; Metazoa; Chordata; Aves; Anseriformes; Anatidae.
GCCUCACUGUACAGCAAUUGUGUCCUUCAGAGCACAGAGAGAGAGAGCACAUAUUGUCCUAUACAAUGUCACUGAAGAAAAAGUAAUUACAACACUGGACUGACUAAAAAAGCCACAUUUUUAAAUUAAAAAAAAAAAUAAAAAAAUAAAAUCUUUUUUAAAGAUUACUCUGCAUCUUUUUGCUCCCUGAACACUGGUUUGGGGUAAUUACUGGAUAGUAGACUGAAACCACCCAAAAACCCCCACACAGAAUAGAGGAGGAACAGGAAGAAACAGCAUAAGCCAAGAUGAACCGCAAUAGCUUUUGGGGUCCUUUGAUUACAGGGAGUAGAGAGAUCAAGAAGCCAGAAAAUGGCCUGGUAUCAAGAGCCUUCCACGAGCAGAUUUACACAAUAGAUGUCUUUCAGUAUUUUAGAUGAGAGACAGGCAUGGAGAGAUAAUGAGCUUUGUGAUUAAACUUAGCAAGUUCUGCAAAUUUACAUUUCUGAAAUCUCUCAGGAACUUCAGAGCACUUAGGGGAAAAAAAAAAAAAAAAAAAAAAAAAAAAAGAGAGAGAGAGAAAACCAUGAGAAAACCCUUACAUUUUUCUUUAGUUUCUUCCCUACAGGGUCUAGAUUGCACCUCCUUCUCUGUUCCUCACAGCUCCUAGAGGGUCUCCAUUCAGACUUUAGAUUUUUUUUUUCAUUUUGAUUUUGGUUGGCACACUUCUUAAGGACACAUCCAUCAGCUGAAAAGACCCAACCAGAAUGAAAAGAGUGUUGGCAGCCCGAGAAGACAGCAGAGAAGCAACCACCUCACACACGGCAGAGAUGUCUCCCAGAGAUGUCUCCGCAGUGCUGAUCCUCCAAGCCCGAGCCCCUGUUACAAAGACACCAGCUGAGACAGCCAGUUCCCUACCAGUGACAACAGCUGCUUCUGAAGUGCCGCUGCCCCUAUUCGGGCUCUGUCGUGAGGAGCUGGGGACAUGUCUCCACCUGGCCUCCAACCACAGCUGUCCCGCACUUCGCAGGCGUGCCUUUUAACCUCCCAGACCUCACCAACCCACACACCAUGACUUCUGAGAUGGGAACUCUGAAGUAUUUCUGUCGCCUUGGCUGCACGGAUCCCGUUGCACAAAAUGGGUAGCGAUGCAUCGGCUUUGCUGCAGCCAUGCAGAAACCCUGCGCUGCCGACAGGCACCGAGGCACUCAGCAGUUACCACCUGCUGAAGACGAAGUUUCCGUGCAGGAAGUACCAAUUUGUCGAAAGCAAACAUGCUGAAUAAUAUUUAAUGACUUGGUCGCUGUCCACAGAUAGGCAAUAAUCAGUUUGGUAAAUGUUCAGAAGGUCACAGAGGACAUGACAGCAGUCAAAGACAGAUAGUCGAGGCUAGCCAGCUGUCAUUUGAGGGCCUUGUGCCAAGGACUGCAACAGGUAGUGGUGCAGGUUUAUACCACCGUUUCUCCAGAUAUCAUGAAUUUCACUCACAAAUUUAGUUUUUCCUUUACAAAGAGCAUGUGCAGAUUGCAACCACCAAUGCAGCCAUUCCAGGCAAAAGGCAGCAUUGAAAAGAAUGAGACAGCAAUGAGGAGACCCACAGGAUCACAGGGAAGAAGUGCAACCCUCCUCCAGUCUGGUUAAGGGGACAGCAGAUCUGGGUUAGUUUCAAGACUUUUAUCACACAGAAAAAUAAGCUUCCCAAAGGGAGUUUGUGAUACUUACAAAAUAUUUGUGUUAGUACGUGACACCGCAGCCUUUACAGCACUGAAAGAAAGGUGUAAGAAGAAAUCUGAGUGACAGAAGGCCAAACAUAUUGUCAUGGAAAAACUGCAUCAGAAACAGAAAACACACAAAAGUGUCACAGAUUCCCUAGAUUACCAGAGAGUCAAUAUGCUAUGCAGAGACCAACAAUGUCACCACAAACCAUGAGAAGAGAUACUUACACCAGAUCUGCUCUCAGCAAGACAAAAGACAAGAGGUAUUGCCAGAUACUUAUGCAUCAAAACACAGUGCUGGAAUACUUUUAAUUAAAAAGGGUUACUUUAAUUAAAACCAUAAGAUCUAAUAUUACAGAGCCAAAAGCCAAAAAGAGCUUGAAAACAGACUGCCUGAAGUAGCGUUAAAUAUAGCAUGAUUUAAACAGUGCUUCUGGUGUUUAUGGCUAAUGUGGCACGUUUUUCUUUUUGAAAAGGUAUUGCAGUGAUGCUGACAGAAUAGAAAAUUGGAUAUUAGCUUAAAAAUUGAAAGUUGCUAUUCACAUAAAAGCAGCAUACAUAUGGGAAAACACAUGUCUCUGUUUGCAACGGCUGUGUUCCAGUUCCAAGUGAAUGAUCCAAGUGUUUUGCUAAUACGUAACAAUCAAACUAUGUCCUUUUUCUUUCAGACGCCAGUCGUUAAUCAUGCAAACAGUGAAAACUCCACUUGCAUAUCAAAUAAAAUCUUAUUUAGAUAAAAUUUCA